ACAACGAAGAGUUUGAUCCUGGAUCAGGAUUAACUCUAGCGACAGGCUUAACACAUGCAAGUCGAGGGGUAACAUGGGGGUGGCAACACUUCUGAUGACGACCGGCGCACUGGUGAGUAACACGUAUGCAACCUGCCCCCUGCAGGGGAAUAACCCAGGGAAACUUGGCCUAAUGCCGCAU
This 181-nucleotide ribosomal RNA is filed under the name Muribaculaceae bacterium. RNAcentral describes it as "partial 16S ribosomal RNA". It matches the Rfam family "Bacterial small subunit ribosomal RNA", at positions 1 to 174 of the family's 1533-position model. The record is from RNAcentral. Lineage: Bacteria; Pseudomonadati; Bacteroidota; Bacteroidia; Bacteroidales; Muribaculaceae.